RNAcentral lists this ribosomal RNA (37 nucleotides) under Artemisia annua (sweet wormwood). Its description in RNAcentral is "partial 28S ribosomal RNA". The record is from RNAcentral. Lineage: Eukaryota; Viridiplantae; Streptophyta; Magnoliopsida; Asterales; Asteraceae.
CGACCCCAGGUCAGGCGGGACUACCUGCUGAGUUUAA